GGAUUAUGGCUCAACAGUAGAGCGCUCGCCUUGCAUGUGCAAGGCCCUGGGUUCAAUUCUCAGUACCA
This 68-nucleotide transfer RNA is filed under the name Marmota monax (woodchuck). RNAcentral's name for it is "tRNA.Ala". The stretch from base 5 to 65 matches the Rfam family "tRNA", at positions 6 to 65 of the family's 71-position model. From Rfam's summary of the family: Transfer RNA (tRNA) molecules are approximately 80 nucleotides in length. Their secondary structure includes four short double-helical elements and three loops (D, anti-codon, and T loops). Further hydrogen bonds mediate the characteristic L-shaped molecular structure. tRNAs have two regions of fundamental functional importance: the anti-codon, which is responsible for specific mRNA codon recognition, and the 3' end, to which the tRNAs corresponding amino acid is attached (by aminoacyl-tRNA synthetases). tRNAs cope with the degeneracy of the genetic code in two manners: having more than one tRNA (with a specific anti-codon) for a particular amino acid; and 'wobble' base-pairing, i.e. permitting non-standard base-pairing at the 3rd anti-codon position. Lineage: Eukaryota; Metazoa; Chordata; Mammalia; Rodentia; Sciuridae. The record is from RNAcentral.